This 1491-nucleotide long non-coding RNA is filed under the name Lynx pardinus (Iberian lynx). The record is from RNAcentral. Lineage: Eukaryota; Metazoa; Chordata; Mammalia; Carnivora; Felidae.
GCGGGAGCGAAGGGGGCGGGUCAGGGGCUGCGGGCUUUCUCCCGCUGCAUUAUCCCUGGCCCACCGCCUCCCUCUGCAGGUGCGGCGGCUGGUUCGUAUCGCCUACCCACCCGCCCCCGCUCCCGUUUUUGUGUGUCUCGAUGUCUUUCUAUCCCCUUUCUCUGAGUAUUUAUUUGUCCCCUCGUCUCUGCCCUCGCCCCGCUGAGACUCUGGACCCUCUUUUCUAAGUCUCUACCCUCCCUCCGGGUCUCUGUCUCAUUGUUCUCUGAAUCUGUUCCCCUCCUUCUGAGUCUUUACUCCCUUCUCCCUAAGGUUCAGUCUCCUCUCCCCCAACUGUGUCUCCGUCCCCCCACCCCCAGUCCCUUUCUCCUGGUCUCUGUAGCUUAUUCUCGGGGAUUUGCCUCUCUCUCUCUGGGCCUCUGCCCCCUCCCGGUCUCUGUCUCUUCUCUUUGUGUCUCUGUCCUCCACUCCCUCUCUGGGGCGCUGUCCUCCUUGCCCUAGGCCCUUGUCUUCCUCUCCCUGGGUCUCUGUCCCCUCCAGGUCUCUGUCCCUCUUCUUUGUGUCUCUGUCCUCCACUCCCCUCUCCCAGCCUGUACCCCCCACCCCCCGUCUCUAUCAUCUGAAUCUCUGUCCCCCUUGCUCUUGUUCUCUGACGACCUCUCUGUCAGUAUCUUUUUCCUCUCCUCUCUCUCCCUCCUCUGUAAGUGCCUUUUCUCUUUCUCUCCUUUUUCUCUCUGUCCCCUAUGCGGGUCUCUAUCCCCACUCCCCGUGCCUCUUUCAUCCCCUUAUGAGGCUCUGUCUCCACUUCUUUGGGACUUUGUCCCGCUGUCCUUUGGUCUCUGUCCCUCCAUCACCCCCCUCUAACCCCCAUCCUGGCCAGGACCCGAGGCUGCGUCACUGCGGAGAGAGUUGCAGAAGUGGAGCCUGUCCUGCAGACCAAAGAGGUAUUUCCUUCACCCCCCCCCCAGACCUUGGGCGGUACUCAAGCCCCCGAUGGGACCCAGGAAGGCAGAGAAAAGACAUCAAAACUUCCUACUCUUCUCUACCCUGAAUUCUGGUGUAUCCCCAGGCAGAAGCAGUGAAUCCUGAGGUGAGGGACUGGGCUUAGGUUGAGGCUUGGGUUGAGUGAGGUUUCUGAGCAAGUCACGAGUGGGGGUGGUGGCUGGAGGAGGGGUUGGGUAGGCACUAGGGGUGGGAGUAGGGACUAGGGUAAACACCUAAAAAUCAGCUAUGCUCCCUUAUAUCCUCUCCCCUCCCCCCAACUCUACUUUUCUCUUCUGCUUUUGACAGCAGCCAGGCACGGGAUCCAGUUACCAAAUCAGCGUUUUUGCAGAGGUCAGAAGGUGUGGGAGAAGGUGGGGGCUGUGGGCGAGGGGGCUGCCAUAGGGGACGAUAUGGGAUGAGACUCCAGAUUAGAGGCCAUGGGAGCGGGGCGGAGGCCCUGGGGCAAGGAGUAACAGUAUAGUCCAGACUCCAUCAGGUCCAGGGAAA